UCUUCUGUUAGAUUUGCCAGAUGUGCUCUCCUGGCCCGUGAAAUCAAGCGUGGGUGAGACCUGGUGCAGAAAGGGAAGGCGACCCAUACUUGGUUUCAGAGGCUGCGAGAAUACCUGCAAUUCAGAGGA
This 129-nucleotide microRNA precursor is filed under the name Callithrix jacchus (white-tufted-ear marmoset). RNAcentral's name for it is "microRNA cja-mir-551 precursor". Its record names the gene cja-mir-551. The stretch from base 32 to 105 matches the Rfam family "mir-551 microRNA precursor family". The record is from miRBase by way of RNAcentral. Lineage: Eukaryota; Metazoa; Chordata; Mammalia; Primates; Cebidae.